Molecule: long non-coding RNA, 3146 nt
Filed under: Daphnia magna
Lineage: Eukaryota; Metazoa; Arthropoda; Branchiopoda; Diplostraca; Daphniidae
Description: uncharacterized LOC123474353
Source: RNAcentral
UCACCAGUAUCGUAGGUGACGUCGUAAUGUUUGUCUUGCUGGAACAAGUAAUCUGCACACAUCCUGUUGCAGUGAUACAAUAAACUCUGCUAAACGAAAGAGUUAUUUAAUUAAAAUAAAUGAAAUCUAGAAAAGGUGACGGAAUCGGCUCGUUGGAUGCCUUCGAAUUUGUAGCGGAAUUUCUCAGACAUGAGUAGACCCCCGCCCCAGGCAGCAUCAAUGUGCAACCAGAGGUGAUGCUUGUCGCAAAUGUCGGCAAUAGGAUUAAUGGGAUCGAACGCCCCGAACACGGUGGUACCGGCCGUGGCCGUCACCAUGAACGGGAUCUUACCAUCGCUGAUGCUCUUGAGGACUAGACGUUCCAGCUCAGCCGGAAUCAUUUGACCCUUUUCAUUGCAUGGGACGCUAAUGCAAUUAUCUGUGCCCAGUCCGGAAGCAGCGGCCGCACUCAUCAUCGAAAAGUGGCUCUAAUAAUAAGUGAACAUGACGAGGGGACCGGGCAAGGAUUGCAAUCCUUCGCUUUUGACACGUGGAUAUUUACGGUAACGGGCAGCCAGGACGGCGUACAAGUUAGAUACAGUUCCACCUGCGCGUUCAAAUUCAUUUCUUGAGAUCGUUUCAGAUAAGAAUUUUUAUGAUUUGAUUUAUGAAUUACCAGGGGCAAGGAUGGAAUCUCCUCCCUUGUAGCCAAUAAUUUCUCUCAUCUUCUUGAGAGUCAUGUGCUCCAUGAGGAUAAAAACGGGUGAAAUCUCGUAGGUGAACAUAUUGGUGUUGGCUGUCGCAGUCAACCACUCGCCCGCCAUUGAAAUGACAUCAACUCCAUUGGACAGCUGGUUGAAGAAACGAGGAUGACCUAUUGGCAUUUUGAAAAAUCGCCCCCAAACAAAAAGGAGCUGUCGGAUCACAAUUCCCUUCUGGCGGAAUGAAAAAAAAAAAUCCCUUCCAAGAAAAGCAGAUAACACGCCAAUGUUUAUAGAUGCGGAUGAGACCUGUCAUCAACAUGUUCCCAAGAGAAUUCGCUACCACACCCUAUUUACCAUACCAUUUGGGGCUCUGGCUUUCAUCGUCUUCACAAAACACAUUGAUAGACGCUCAGCAGGACGAGUCGCAGCGAUAUUGGUUCUCUAAACUGGCGCAAUUGGUCAUCUCGCCGACCCGUUAUGGCAAUCUGUUACCCCUCCGCCUUCAUCUCUCUGCGGAUUGCUGGAGCGAAACGAUCGACCCAUUAACAUCCUGCCAGACUCUUACGCAAAAAUUUGAUUUGUUGACCUCCAGUCGAAACUUUUGUCUAAAAGUCCUUGGACGGCACAGGGAAGAAAAGAAAGAAAACUUUUGGCUUAAAUUUUUUUUUUUUCUUUUGGUGCUUUUGUUUGCGUGUUGUUUUGUGAUGGGCUUUUGACAUUCUGUCUCCCAUUCUCCGUGUAUUAAUGAUUUCUAUAUAGAUAGGUACAAGGGGGUGGAGAGUGAGACUGCUGUAUUGCCAUUGUGUUGGCGCCUGCCCUCACCCCAAAUCCGAGAGGGUGUGUGGGGAGAUCAAUCUCCCGAUUUGUGAUCCCCCUCUCUAUACUCUCUCACUUUACUUGUAAUAAUAAUAAUACUCUCCUCUUUUUUUCUUUCUCUUUUUCAUGUAUGGUGAAGGAAAUCCAUUGGACUUGUUUUCUCUUUGAUCGAAGGAUCUUGUAGGAGGGAAAAAGAGAGGCUCAACCUACUGACAUCUCCCUCUCCAUUUUUUUUUUUUUAGUAUAACUUUCAAUAAUGUGUCGAGCUGUCGCUCACGUUCUUUUUUUCUAUUCAACACUUAAAAGAAAAAAAAAGGCACAUAAGGCGUGAACAGUCUUUACUACUCCUACCCUCUUAUUCCGGGAGCAAUCCGCGUGAGACGGUACGCAGCUGUUGGUGCUGGAGGGGGUGACAGACGGACCCGCGAUCCGUCUUGAAAAAACUACCACGUCAAGCGGAAGACAAAGGAAAUGGAUCAAAUCGUUUUGACGCGCAAAGGAUCGCGAGAAAUCUAUCAGUUGAUUUUGUUCGUCGUGUAAGGCAUCAUAAGAUUUUUGAUCUCAAUGUUUUCCCGUUUUAAAUAGUUGCCCGCCUUUGAAAGGGAAUCGAUCCGCAAAUGUUGGCGUGCGUUUCUUUUCCCCGUCAGAACUGCAUCGAGUUGAGGAGAUGAGAAAACAAGGAGCCAAUCGAACGAAUAACAGCUGCCUCCUACCCUGUUCGGCCCAGUAAAGGCGGAGUAGGAAGACGAUGAGACCGCCGAACGCAACUUUUCCAUCAAAAACGCGCACCCAUCGAGGCUCGGAAUAUUAUUCACACAUAUCAAAGUGGAUGGGGGAUAAAAAAAGAAAAAAAAGGAAAAUUUGGGGAGUUGAACCAUCUGUAAAAUAGGGGGAUCCAUUGGCCAUCAAGUCAAACAUCCAUUCACCCAAGUAUUUAUGGAGGAUGACAGCGAUAAGAAGGUGCAGGGGAAUAUCCUGAAACAUCCACUUCAUUUCCUCUCGGAGACUUGUUUGGUCCCCCCCUCCCUUUACCGACUGACACGCCAUUUCCAUCGACCCGAAUGGAACAAGGAGAAAUGUGUGGACUUCCGUUUGACAUUUUGGGUUAAAACAUCAACCACAAAUCCACGUUCGUCUUUCUCGCGUAGCCUCUCCCCAAAAACGAAUCUCCUUUUAUUUGGCUGUGUCUUAGCUUGUUUGAGUUGCGGCUAAUUGGAUGGCUCCUGGAUUUAGUGAGACUGCAAAGAGAGGCUUUACUGCUGAUGGACACUUCUAGACCCGUCGGGUGUCUAGAAGUGAGAGUGUCACGACAAUCGGCCAGCAGCUGGUCGAUGUUUUUCGGCUGAUUGGGCAACGACAAGUCGAUGAUCUCCAACAGUUGCUCGGGAUGGUGAAAAUCGAGGAUUUUGCUGGAACGAUCGAACGUCUUGUGCAGGAAAUCCAUCAAGAUCUCCGUCAUCCGGUUGAGGAAUUCCCUCGUCUCCGGUUCGCUAUCCCCAGCCAAAGGUAGCAGAUCUGCGUUGGAGAAAAAUGAAUAAAAAAAAACUCACCGGAAUAGUAGAGAGAGCCAAUGUCUUUGGCCAAACGAUGCGAAUUUCCCUGUUCAUCCUGGACGGACAUUUUGCAAUUGAAAUUCGCUGCUGGAAG